GUUCGAGUAAGCGAGUGUAAAGCUGCCAUGCUAGCCAGGUAACGUUAGCUAACUCUUUUAGCUGUGCUAAAGGACUGAACGGUGUCGCUAAAAACUUUCGAGGCUAGUGGCAUCCAACAGUUUACCCACAGAGCCAGUGGGUGAAAGAAGACAGGUGGACAAAGAAAAAAUAAGGACUAAAAUGCAUCAGACUACAUAACAUCACUGCUGCACAUGGCUUUGUUUAAGAGAUGCAAAAUGGGAAAGGAGGUCUAUCUGCAGAGAAUCUGGAGGUGGGAGAGGUCUCUACAUGCAGCCCCGGCCAAGUGCAGUGACACCUCGGUGACAUACACGGGGCUUCUUUUUGGAAUGAGUUGAUUUUGUCCCCAUAUUAGAGCAAAGACUGAAAGCAGGGGUCCCAAAAGAUCCAAGGGGCUCUGCUUGGCUAUUUGAGUUAUUUUACUUGUAAAGGCGAGGCUAGACAUCAUUUACAUUUUUUUGUUUAUUUUUAGCAGCUUUUUGAAAAUAGAUUCCAGCUGGACUUUUCUUUGAUACUGAGCCACUUCCCACAACUGGUUUAAAAGUGAUUUUGUUUGUUUAGUUGUUUUCCCCUGCUGACUUAGUUUGAAACGCUGGAACUGUCCCUCCUGCCGCCACCCUCAGUUUCUUCAACCCACCCAGUGCCUCAAUAAGCCCUCUCGGGACAAUCACAAAAGUCAUCAGCAGCUGCUACGCUCAAUCCUCUGCCUGCUCUCCUCCAUGUGCUUCUGCUCUCGGCGUGCUGGCUAUUCACUUACUACCUCUUUAAUUUUCUGGUCUUUUCAUAUUAAUUUUCUCUGAGAGGCAUAAUCUAAACUCAAGCACAGCAACGAGGAUUGAUGGAAACACUGAGUUUCAGGAGUGGAGAGAAACCUAGGUUUUUCCAUAUGUAGUUGUAUAUGGGAGUGUCUGCACUUUUGUGUACAUGCAAAGCAGUGUCAGGGUUGCAGCUUAAGAUUACAUUUAUUUAUAUUGUUGCACCAAAUAUAGUUACAUUAAAGCCAUACAAAAAUAUUUAUAAAUUACCUACACAUAUUUUUGUAUCACAUUUCUCUUGUAUAGUUUUGCUUUUAUAUGCUUCUAUUAAGAUUAUGCACACAAAUUAAAUAUUUACAACAAACUACACACAUGCAAGAAUAGCUGUAUAUUGCUAUAUUAAAAAAUUCUACAUUUUUGAGUGAUUAAAUUAGUUCUUGGAGGCAUUUUGUGUGUCAACACAGGGAAUCCCUCAUGUUUCUAUUGAGUUGCUGCUUUGCAUAGUGUUGGUUUUCUUUUCCGGUCUGUAGUCAUGGCCCCUCCUCCCAAACAAACACCAUAUUUGCUAUUUUGACCAGUAAAGCACCUUUUACAGUAGGUAGACAGUAGAUAUCUACCUCUCUGUCUUCCCUCCCUCUCUCUCUGUCUCUGAUGCCGGGCUUCAGUGGUGGGGGGGUUGGGGGAGGAGUAGGUGGCCCAGCUUCUGCUCCUCCCCGUCCAUUUCGACCCAGCCGAUAUGUCCCGGUGUCUGCAGCCACCACUUUCCUUGUUGGAUCCACCACCCUGUUCUUUUGCUUCACGUGCCCGUGGUUGUCAGAGUAUUUCUCCUCUGUUAUUCCCAUUUAUAAUGCCGUGAUCUUCCUCUUCACCCUCGCCAACUUCUGCAUGGCCACUUUCAUGGACCCUGGAGUCUUCCCCAGAGCGGAGGAGGAUGAGGAUAAAGAGGAUGAUUUCCGCGCUCCACUCUAUAAGACAGUGGAGAUCAAAGGCAUCCAGGUGCGCAUGAAAUGGUGCUCAACCUGCCGCUUCUACCGCCCACCACGCUGCUCACACUGCUCAGUCUGCGACAACUGUGUGGAGGAUUUUGACCACCACUGUCCUUGGGUGAACAACUGCAUUGGACGGAGGAAUUAUCGCUAUUUCUUCCUCUUCCUGCUUUCACUUACCACCCACAUCAUGGACGUAUUUGGGUUUGGCUUGGUUUAUGUCCUCCACCACCGCCAGCAGCUGGACACGCCACACGCUGCUGUUACUAUGGCUGUAAUGUGUGUGGCUGGUCUGUUUUUUGUCCCAGUCGCUGGCCUGACUGGGUUCCACAUAGUGCUGGUGGCCCGCGGCAGGACCACAAAUGAACAGGUGACAGGAAAGUUUCGGGGUGGCGUUAACCCUUUCACCAAUGGCUGCUUGAGGAAUAUUUCACAUGUGCUCUGCAGCUCCCAGGCGCCCAGAUAUAUGGGCCGGUGGCGGAGCCCUCAAUCCGUGGAAAUACAGCCACCAUUUCUUAGACCGCCUCUUACUGAGGCCCAGCUAGAAGCCAAGGUCCUGGACAAUGGCAUUCAGAAUGAUCGACACAGCACCAGGUCCAAGAGCAGUCUAGAUCAGAUGGAGAGCCAGUCCGCUGAUGCAGAGCCUCCACCGCCUCCAAAGCCGGAGCUGCGAUACCCUGGCCUGCCCCGCGCUGACACAGAGGAGAGCAGUUUGUUAACUGAAGCUCCACCUACGCCAUCAAUGUACAAGUACCGACCAGCCUACAACAGCCCAGGAAGGAACCACACUGCCCUCACACACCCCAACAAGAUGAUUCGUGGGGAGAGUCUUGACUCUCCAUCUCCCUCCAUCCUCCAGUCCAGCCGUCAGCCUAGCUAUCGCUCGGAGCCGAGCAGCCUGGAUGGGGCGACGGUGGUGGGGGGAGGUGUAGGGGUGCGCAGAGGGGGAGGGGAGAGGGGUGAGGGCCCUGGAGGCCCUGGCGGGACUGCUGGGGUGGUGUCAGGGGGCAUGUCAGGUUACUCCCUGACUGGGCGCUCCUACACCUCCUACCCAUCCUCUCUCGUUCUGUCUGCUGGUGGCUCACGCUCCUCCAGCCUGCGCUCGGCGCACACAGCACAUAACCCGCUGGCCACGCUCCAAUCAGAAGGCACCACAGACACCAGCUACAAAAGCCUGGCCAAUCAGACGCCUCGGAAUGGCAGCCUGUCCUAUGACAGUCUGCUGACACCAUCCGAGAGCCCAGAGUUCGAGUCAGCCGCCCACGAGCUGUCGCCACAGAAGCCUCAUGCUCCAUUUCCCUCGGCGACUAUAAGGGGCCAGCAUGAGGUGGUGUCACCCAGUACCCCACUUCAGGGUUACAUGUCGCCCUUCCUCUCAGCUCAGAUCGCCCAGCAGAGGGAGGGGCAGCUGCUCCAGGGCUCUGCCACUUUCUCCUCCCCCCACAGGGCCUACCUGCGUGCCGUCAGCCCACCCCCUCCCUCCUCCACUGGGCCUCCUGAGACCCACCACCUGCUCCAUCAUAACCAGGACGCCUCUUUCCGAGGCCCCCGUAACCUUUCCUCCUCAUCCUCAUCCCCUGGGGCACGCUCACUAGAGCCCCCUGUCUCCCCACCACCUCGUGGCCUGUCCCUUGGCAAGUCCCACUCUUACACUGGGGAGGCAGGACCUCAGCACAAGCCUCGACCUGCAGGAGGAGGUGCUGUGCUGGGAGGGGGAGGAGCCGGAGGAGGGCAACAGGCUCCACAGUGAGUAGUGAUCCGUCGCCAGAUCCGUCAGCCUGCUGCUCUUCCUCCUCCUUUUCCUCCUAAUCCUCCUCUUCUUCCUCCCUGGUUUGUGUCAGCCCUACUCUUCCUCUCUGAUCUGUAUCCACCUCUCGCCCAGUCUUGGCCAAUCACACCAUAUCCAAACCAGGGGGCGGGGUGAAGAAGGUGACUGGCGUCGGGGGGACCACUUACGAGAUAUCGGUUUGAGUGACAGACGUCCUUCAAGGUCUAUCACAAGGAGGGGGAAAAAGACACUGGACUACUUCCACUAGUCUCUUCAUUGAGCUGGAUAUUAUCCACGACUGCAGGCUCCUCAAAAAUGACGGUUUUCCGCUGCAACUGACUGAGGGAGCAAUCCUGUCUGGUACUCACUUUGUUAUCUUUGUAAUGCCACUGGCCAGUCUUCUCUGCCAGCCUUUCAGAUUUGAACAAAGAGGAACUGGGGACACUGGUUCAUUUUUCACAGGAUCAAUUUGUGUCCAUUUAGUCACUUUGUGAGCCAUAGACUGAUGGGACUGUAUCAUCACGACUGGGUACAGAUAUGUCUAUAGAACAUACAUAGCUACUCAAUGAUUUGCUGUUUUACUUUGGUACAUUAGCACAGUACAGAGUACUGACAGCGUUGUCCGACACUUAAAGAAAGGAUGGCCUUUAUCCAGUGGAUGUAAAGAGGGAAGGAUUUAGGACUGUUGACCGAUAGAAACGUCUUCUUUUCCACUGUCUGAACGGACCACACAGCCUGUUUAUUGAUAAGAGUCGUGGAGAAAAGAGUCCAACCUGUAAACACAGUAUCAUUUUAGUUUUAUAAAUCUUUUUUUAAAUAUUGUUUUAUAUACAUGUAUAAAAUCUUACAGAUUGUUAUUGGGUCAAAUUGUCAGAUAUUGAAGAUGACUAUUGAUGAGGGUGGCAGAUGUACUGUGUGUAAUUAUUCAUGAAAGCGAUUUUCAAAUCAGUUGCCUGUUUAUAUUUGAUGGCUGCAUCAGCCGCUCACGAGCUCUUGCUGGAAUUGUCAUCGUCCAAAGAGAAUGAUGAUCCUUUGGUGGACAGCUGAAGUGGCAAAUCAUUGAGCUUAAUUUUUCAAAGCCACAAAGAAAUUCUGAAUCACGGUUGCAGCACAAGCAUCUUUGUGGAAUGUACGCUUGUAAUGUUUAUGCUAGAGACAUUAUGCAAAAUCUGUUUGUAGCUUUAAGGUCAUUGUAUGUCUUUUUGGUGUUUUUUUUUGUUUUUUUUCUUCUUCUUUUCUGUAAUGUUUUGUCUGUCAGUCAGUCGAGAUGUUAGCAUAACCUUGUACCUUUAACGGAUGGCCAGCCAAAUAGGGGCAGCGAGGGAAGGGCUUAUUUAUUUCACCAGACAAGACAACCUUAUAGUUCUGGACACAUUUUCAAACCAGUCUCUACCAGUUUGCUUUUUUUUUUUCAUUCUUUUUUUGAGAGGAGGUAUGAAUAUUUUUUCUGAAAAAAAGUUUACAAAUGAAAUUGUAAAUGCAAUAUGCCACUGAGUAGAUUUUUAGGGAGGGACUGGUUUGCAACUGGAGACUGUGUUGAUUGUUGUUUUGCCUUGAGACCAUUCAUAGUGAAGCAAGCAGAUUUUUAUUUUUUUCUAUUUUUUUUUUACACUUUUCUGAGAAAAAAAUGAUUUGUUUUGAUUGACUUGCUAAUUUUAAAAAAAUUACUCUGUAAAGGUACCGUUCUUCUUUUUUUUUUCCUACAGCCAUGUUGAGAAAGGAAAAUUAACAGGAAGGGAGGUGUGUGUGCGAGUUUGUCUUUCGGGAUUGGGCAUUACAGUAAAGGAUGUAUUUAAUUUUAUUUUUUCUGUCAAGACCCACAGCGGUGUUUGCAGCAGAAUGUCAAAGCUGGCUUAAAGUAGCACAUCUUUGGGGGAAAGUACACGCUUGAAGCACACAAGUAACAUUGUUCAACCCUCCCAGGCUAUGUCUUCAGUGUGCAUGUGAUUUUUGUUUGUCGUGCUGAAUGCUUCACUGGCGUGCAUACUUGUGAGAAUAUUGUCAAAUGCCUAACUGGUUCAUGUGUGGGUGGUAACAAGAAAAGAAACAUCACUAAUGGCACAAGCCGCCAUCGUAAAGAGAUAAAAAGAACCUGUGUUACUUUUCUUCCUUGUCUGGCCAAGGAUGGUGGCCGUUGAACAAUUGGACACCAUGUGAGUAUAGUAAGUUUACUUCUAUGUGAGAUAAAAUAUCGCUAUUGUGGGCUGUGAUGAACGGAACGAGUUUCACAAAUAUCUGUAAUGAGUACAUUAAAGACAUUUCCAAAAUGGCCUUAUCAAGAAUUUUUAAAAAGAUGUCUUAUCAGAAUAAAAAGGUCAAACUGAUGAAAAAAC
Seriola aureovittata is the source of this 5861-nucleotide RNA transcript. It is a transcript of the gene named zinc finger DHHC-type palmitoyltransferase 5b, with no coding region annotated. Lineage: Eukaryota; Metazoa; Chordata; Actinopteri; Carangiformes; Carangidae. The record is from RefSeq and is a predicted model, not a curated record. The transcript has 12 exons.